GCCUGGAUCUGUGCUCUUGGAUUUCUGUGCUGUGGAAGCCACCAGCAGGAGCUGUCUGGUACCCCUGCCGCAAGUGAACUCUGCAGAUGGGAUGAGUUCUGCCCCAUAGAUGCCCAGAGAGGUCACCCCAUGUGGCCUGGCACUGCCCUUCCCUAGCAAGACGCUGGCCCAGGUUCCUGGGAGCAGUUUUCGUGUCGGGUCCAGAAAGCAAAGCAUGCAGAAGAAAAUGCAAUGAAAGGAGGUUUCAUCUGCCACACGGCUCCACGGACAGAAGGACAGAAGCAGGCGCCUGUGCAGCCCCGCGAGGCCUGGAGGUCACUUCAGGCCACAUGGCGGGGGCGCUCUGCCCACCAGGAGGGAGACCACAUUCCCAUCUGUCUAUCCAUUCGUCCGUCCAGCAGUGGCCCCAGGAGCCAGAACCGUGGAAGAUUCGUCUAAGAUUGACCCCAGAGGGAGCCGCGUGGAGGAGCCCAGAGCAGAGGAGAAACUGGGGCCCCCCGAGAGGCUACGGGGGCAGAGUCUGAGGAAAUGAGGCUCUGUAGGGGCUGAGGCGGGAGGGUCACGGGUCCCAGCCCGGCCGGGGUUCAACCCCAGCACCGCGAAAAAGUAGAAAGAGAAAGAAAGAUGCACGAAGAUGGUUCCUGUCCUGUCUGUUUCAGCCAGGCCCCGGGCUGAGGUGACAGAGGUCCUGGAGGACAGCGAGGGCCCCAUGGAGGUCACAGGGGCUGUCCUAGGCCUGAGGCAGCAGUGGUGGGCACCCCAGCACACAGCCCAGGAGAUGGAGCUCGUCAGGAGUGCGGGGAGGCUGGGGAUCUGCAGAAGGGGCUGCACGUGGAGGGCGGUGUGGCCCUGGCUGGCGACACAUGGGGAAGCAGCCAGCUUGUGCUGCCAGCCUCGAGGUGGGACCCAGCGUUCCCACCGCUGAGAAUCCACCCUAGGGAAGUGGCCCAGCAAGGGGCCACACAGCUAUGCUCCCCGAUACUCGGGAGGCUGAGGCACAAGGGUCGCAUCCUCAAGGACAGUUUAGCAAGUCUGCAUCUCAAAGUGGUAAUAAAAAAGAUGAGAAACAAGGCUGCAUGUGGCACAGUCCGGAGGUCGGGGUCCGUGCCUCGGAACGGUGCGGGGUGAUGGCAGCCAAGCUCAGCGCACUGCGUGACACGGGCAGAGCCCUGGCGCCGGGGACUAGCGCAUCCCGCUGCAGGCUUGUGGGGAGGUGA
Molecule: long non-coding RNA, 1217 nt
Organism: Cavia porcellus (domestic guinea pig)
Lineage: Eukaryota; Metazoa; Chordata; Mammalia; Rodentia; Caviidae
Exons: 3
Source: RefSeq, a predicted model, not a curated record